RNAcentral lists this ribosomal RNA (900 nucleotides) under Lactiplantibacillus plantarum. Its description in RNAcentral is "bacterial SSU rRNA". It matches the Rfam family "Bacterial small subunit ribosomal RNA", at positions 56 to 951 of the family's 1533-position model. Lineage: Bacteria; Bacillati; Bacillota; Bacilli; Lactobacillales; Lactobacillaceae. The record is from RNAcentral.
UGCUUGCAUCAUGAUUUACAUUUGAAUGAGUGGCGAACUGGUGAGUAACACGUGGGAAACCUGCCCAGAAGCGGGGGAUAACACCUGGAAACAGAUGCUAAUACCGCAUAACAACUUGGACCGCAUGGUCCGAGUUUGAAAGAUGGCUUCGGCUAUCACUUUUGGAUGGUCCCGCGGCGUAUUAGCUAGAUGGUGGGGUAACGGCUCACCAUGGCAAUGAUACGUAGCCGACCUGAGAGGGUAAUCGGCCACAUUGGGACUGAGACACGGCCCAAACUCCUACGGGAGGCAGCAGUAGGGAAUCUUCCACAAUGGACGAAAGUCUGAUGGAGCAACGCCGCGUGAGUGAAGAAGGGUUUCGGCUCGUAAAACUCUGUUGUUAAAGAAGAACAUAUCUGAGAGUAACUGUUCAGGUAUUGACGGUAUUUAACCAGAAAGCCACGGCUAACUACGUGCCAGCAGCCGCGGUAAUACGUAGGUGGCAAGCGUUGUCCGGAUUUAUUGGGCGUAAAGCGAGCGCAGGCGGUUUUUUAAGUCUGAUGUGAAAGCCUUCGGCUCAACCGAAGAAGUGCAUCGGAAACUGGGAAACUUGAGUGCAGAAGAGGACAGUGGAACUCCAUGUGUAGCGGUGAAAUGCGUAGAUAUAUGGAAGAACACCAGUGGCGAAGGCGGCUGUCUGGUCUGUAACUGACGCUGAGGCUCGAAAGUAUGGGUAGCAAACAGGAUUAGAUACCCUGGUAGUCCAUACCGUAAACGAUGAAUGCUAAGUGUUGGAGGGUUUCCGCCCUUCAGUGCUGCAGCUAACGCAUUAAGCAUUCCGCCUGGGGAGUACGGCCGCAAGGCUGAAACUCAAAGGAAUUGACGGGGGCCCGCACAAGCGGUGGAGCAUGUGGGUUUAAU